This is a long non-coding RNA of Numida meleagris (helmeted guineafowl), 5626 nucleotides long. RefSeq lists it as uncharacterized. The transcript has 4 exons. The record is from RefSeq and is a predicted model, not a curated record. Lineage: Eukaryota; Metazoa; Chordata; Aves; Galliformes; Numididae.
UGGUGUUAUUUAUCAGGCAAUUGCAGCAUCAAGAAAAGGUGAUAGCUGCUUUCUGAGCCUGAGGAAAGAGAAGAGGAAGCAAUGACUCAACCAGCCUAAGCACCUAAAAUGAUGCCACCAACAUAAGGCCUUGCUUGCAACAACUUUGGAGACCUCACCUACAGGGUGAACACACCGCCAUAGGAGUUCCCAGAUGAUCCUCACUGCAAUCAGGGCUCUUCAGCAUCUGUGGAUCUGGAUGUGCAGUUGCUGAGCAGUCCUACCAACUGAAUGAUGUAUCAAAACAGCUGUACUAAGACUUUCUGCUAAGACCACCAGUAAACCAUCAUGUCUCUGUAUGGAGAGUUCUGCCAGGACAGAAUACAUACUCCACAGCACAGCCACAUCCCCUCAGUCUGGUCAACAUGUGAACACGAGGUAAGGAGAAGAGAGAUGAUGAUGGGACAGAGCAUUCUGAGCUCUGGAAACUGCUGAUUCUGCAAAGUGAAUGAUGAUGGGGAAUAUCAGCACAUGAGCUCACUCUGCAAAGAGGCACACUGCCAUUCAUCAAGGUAUCAGGAAGAGCCGGGUGUAUGCAGUAUGCCUACUGGAGCAUCAGGAGAGCUGUUCUUCUAUUGAGCAGACCCAUGGGACAACUCAGCAGAUUCUGCUUCUCACAGAGGCAAGACACAGCCAGUCUGUAGAUGGGGCUAUGCAAUGAGCUCAGCUGGAGCAGCAAGGCCCUGCCACUCACUGUUUUACCUCAAGUGAAAAGCACCAUUUUGUGGCUCCAAGCUCCUGCUGAGAUCCCAACUGAACAGAGCCAACAACACAGCCGGAGUUGGAUGGAGCUGUGGUUAUAAUCACAGCCAGUCUACUCUCAGCAAGCACUGAUAUUGCACCUGUAGGUAUGACCUGCACUAGUUUAACCCCUGUACAAUCACUGUUCACUUAGGGUGGUCUGCUUCUCCUCAAGUGAAGACUAGCAUUUGACCUGUGCCCUGUGAAAGGCCACUAUCCAUUAAUGAGGUAUUUGUUCUGAUGAGAGAGUUGAAAUGAACAUGCUGCAAAGCCUGCGAAAAUUAUUAACAACCAUAGUAUAUAUUACUAUCAAGAAGUCACACUCAUCCCCCAAAUUCUACCAUCUUACUGUGAAAUAGAAAGCUGUGGAUUGGAUUCACUGAAAUCAGCUCAACUCAACAGUGUUUUGUCCCAGUCAUGUCAGCACAAACUGGAGGAACAUACAUGGGUUAGGCAGGAGACUUGAUUGAACCAUUUUGUUUGUUAUCCUCACAAGUUGAACCCUGGAAAAUCUCCUUUUUGCCAGGAUCUUUUGCUGUAGUUGUGCCUCCCCUUGAGAAAGAUGCUAAAUUGGCUAUUUAUCAUGUGAUCUGAAAGGGGAACUGAAGAUCUUCAAAUGGUCAGAAUCUGCUGGAAUUCAUUCCUGUCCUUUUCCUAAAUUGAGAAAGCAUUGCAGUCACCCAAGUAGAGAUAAUCCAUGAGAAAGACUUCUUUUCUGUAAAGGUAUCUGGACCAUGAUUCCUACUCAACAGAGACUCUAAAACUUUAUAGAAUCAGCUAUUGGAAGCACGCCCAGGAUAUUUUUUCCAUCUGCACAUACUUCUAAAAAUGUCAACGCCAGUCUAACUAUUCUCAUCUGGGAAGCCUGAUAUCAGAUGUACAUUAGCAUAGGAAAAAAUCCAAAAUGCAAACUCCUUCAAAAAAGGAAAAUAAAUUAAAAGCAUGUUACACUGGCUUCUCAUUUGAAUUCUAUAACAGGAGGAAAUUUUACAGUGUGACUUUAUGCAAUUCAGUAAAAAAAUCCGACAAGGGAAUAGCAUGGGUUUCAGGGACAAAGGGCAGAUGGUUUGUGAGAUUCUUAUUUGAGCGUGAUUCCUGAAUAUUUAGAUUCAAUACCUAACUGUAGACAAAACAAAACAAAACAAAACAAAAACACACAGGGUUUUAGGAGCCAUGCUUUCUUAGCAGUCCUGGAAUUAAAACCAGACAACAGUACAUCUAGUUGUGGGAGAGCUUCCCAAGGGAGGAAGUAUUUUUGCUUCAGUAUUUUGUUCCAGUCAUCAGUCUCCCAUUAUUUCCUCUUCCAAAUCUGUACUCUUCACACACCUUCUCUCCUUUGUCUGAGAAAGAAGUAUAGCUAAACAAGAUGUGCCACAAUGCUACUUGCAGUCUGAGUCUGGGCAUUAAGACUAAGACUACCUCCACACUUCCCACAGCACCUGCCCUCAGCUUGCCACUACUAUAAAAGAGGUCUCUAUUUAGUUAAGUCUGUCAAAAUUCAGUAGGAAAAAAAAAGGAUACAAAUGCAAACCUCAGGUCUAUCUGAAUAGAACUCCUCAAAAAGAACAGAAGUUGGCUUCAGUAGGACCAAUUCACUGUUACAAAGUGAACACUGAAGUAAUGACUUUACAGCUUCUCUUUUCAGGAGUAAUUAUUAGAAAGGCCUCCUCCUCUUACUGGCUCCAAUGAUGAUUUUGUUCAUGUACCUGUAGCAAUCUUCGGGACAAAAGGAGUGCUGGGAGGGAGUAAACGACCACCCCAAGGACUAACAAUGGACCGACAGUCGACCAUCACGAUGCUAGAAGGACGUCAGAUGACAUCGAAGAUCGCCAAUUUGGCAAUCAUUGGGAGUGGAUAGGAUAAUGAAUUUGGGAAUGUAAUGAAUAUGUAAUACUUGCGAAAAUAUAACCUGUUCACGAAUGAUCAACUGGGAGAGCAUUCUUGGAGAGUCGUCUCGAUGGUAUCCCUGCGCUACCAAUAAAGAACACCUUGCUUAACGGUAACAAAACUUUGCUGUUUCUAUGCAUCGAUUUAUUGGAAUCAAACCUAUUUCAGAAGCAAUUUUUCAUCAUGGAUCAUGGUUUUCUCAGUUAAUAUAUAUGAAGACUGGGGAACUGUCAAUCUCAGUCAUUAUUCCUGUGACUGGAGCAGAUGAUAAAUUAUAGAAAACUACAGAACAUGAAAAACUGUAGUUAUCCCUGGCUGCCUAAAAGCUGCUUUGCACAAAAUAGAAAAUGACAGUAUCCAAGAUGCACUGCACCUGAAACACAGAAGUGAGAUCUAUCUUUCUCUUUGCAUUCCAGCAUGCCAGAUAAGUAAUACAGUAUGAACUGAUUUCUUUGCAAACAUCCUCCCGAUGAUAACAAACAGGAAUGAAUUAUUAACACAGAAGAAAAUUUACAGAUUACUACAAGUAAAUUCUAAAUUCUAUCUGGACAAUUAAUUCUGCAGUGAUCACACAGGCUACCUGUGCUGGGAAGCCCAUGCUAUAAUGCUCUGCUGCCAGCUAAAAUUGCUAAUUUUACUAUUAAAUGAACCCAUUUCCAGAAAUCAGGUCAAUUCACAGAAAACUCAAAGCAACAUUCCACUGAAAGGGUAACCUCAUUUUCAUGUUAAAUUAAGGAGAAAUUUAAUGAAAACAAAGCAUGUUGCAUCUCUUUCUGAACAAAGGAAGCAAGACUGCAGUUAAAUCCACUGUUUUUAACAGUGUUGUUAUGGAUUUACCCAGGCAACCAAAUUACCAGGUUUUGUUACCAGGUAGCAAAAUUCAGGUAUCUGUCCUUAGCAGAAAGUUUUUUAGAAAGUCCCAAAGAUGGGGAUGCAAAACUAAUCCAAAGUUGUACUAGUUACUGACUGUGCCCUGGGAAUGGGAUAUUACACUGCUGAAUGGGCAGUUCAUUGCUUAUUCAGAUUCAUUUCAGUGGCAAAAAGACGAAUGUACUUUACAGGGGCCAUGUGAGCUGUAAGUUCAUAGGAAAGCAGCCCACAAGACUAUACAAGCACAGAGUCAAGUCCUAUGGAUUUAAAAAAGCAUGUAAUGAGAAAAAAAUUAAGCAGUGCUGAUGUUGUGGUGAGAAUUUGGAGCUGUAAUUACCAGAUUGAAUACUUAGGUGAUUCCAAUAAAGUUUAUAAACAUGCUUACUUUGAGUAUUACUGAAGAGAGAAAAGAGUUUUUCUUAUAUUAGUUGGUUUUACUGAGAAAAGAAGAAAAUACUGCUUCCAGGUAAACAAGCCAUUUUCAAUUCAUUGGUUAACAACAGCUCUGGGUCUAUGUCUGGGUUUGUAUUCUUCAGCCCUGCCAAAAUUCAAUACAAAAAUGUAGGAAUCAAAAAAUACCAAAUAAGGACACUACAUGACUAGACUACAAAAGCAAGAAAACACUCCAGUAUUUAAUGCUAGUUGUGUAUGAAUGUUGUUAUUUCUCUUUAAAUAAAUUCCAGUUUUUAGUGAUAUCACUAGGAGAUUUAUUUUUUUCAUAUUCCAAUUACCAUAAACCUUAUUUCUUAUGAUUAGCCAUAAUUUUUAUUAUAUCAUACCCACAUUUUUAAUGAUGAUUAAUUGUACAAAUAUGGGGGAUGCUCUGGCCAAUGGACCCAAAAGCAGUUAUGGGACAAUUUCCAUGUUUAUUCUUCUAUGUGUUGGCACACUGAUGUCUGCAUGUUAGUAUGACUCAAGCUCACUGUGGAGUAUCAGUACCCUUCGGUCUCAAAUUAAGACGAGAGCAACAGAAAUUCAAGAAAGUGACAAGGAGAACUGGGCAGCAGUUAGUGCAUAUAACAAGAAAGUGCAAGAAAGAAAAAGCUACAAAUACACUAAACAGCAUGUUCUAAAACAUUCUGUGCCAUACAUAAGCAUUGGCAGGAUGACUUUGGAACAAUGAUUUGAUUGUUUAUAGGCUGUAUUAUUACAAAUAUAUUUUCUAUUUCAUUUCUUACAUGUAGCUAAGUUAGCUUACUGAGGGAGGUUACUGAAACAAGAGGUCACACAAUGACAGCUAAAACUAAAACUACACCAAAGGAAGGGACAUGCUGUUAAAAGUUUACUUCAGUUUCCUUGCUGUUCCUCUGUCCUAAACAGGAUCAACCUUGUUAUUAGCAAGGUCUGUCCAGAGCACUGACUGCCAUAUAGCAAACUGAUCCCAUCACUGGGCAAGUAAAAAGGUCAAAGUCUUGAUUAGGUCUAUAAAGCUCUCAUUUCAUUAUUCCCUAAGUGUGGUGUCAAUCUGCCUGCAGGCCCUUGUCAGAUUACACUACAGGUCAUGACAUCUUACCAAAUAACCCAAACAAAUCUCAGCUGGGUAGCUACUUUUCUCACUAUGGCUAAACAGCACUGUUGCAUACUGCUAAAUGAUCUCAGAACUCGAUUCACUGAUAUGUUUCAUAAGAAAGUCUUCCUGACUAUGUAUGUAUUUUCUGUAGUGCACUGGUAUAUGCCGUAUUACGUACUCUGAGGUGAAUGGCAGCUCAUGGAGAAGCAAAGCUACAUCAGAGUAGUGCUCCAUGUGCUGAGACACAACAGCCUUCACCACCAGAACAACAUCAGGGAGUGGUGUUUGCAAAAGAAGCUGAGUAAAAGCCAGUACAGAUGUUUUUCAUAGUACAAAAAAAAAAAGAGCACACAAAAGACAGAAUCCUUCAUUCUGCAUCACGACCCUACCAGGUGAGUCCCAACUAUACAGAUGCACAUACAACUUAUGCCUUCCGAGCACAGCCAACAAAAGCCAGGAAAGAGAGCAGAAAGGCCACAGUAUGAAUCUCUCAUUUUCCUUCCUUGCUUCCUCCCCUCCUUUAGUCCUUCCUUCCGAACUUCCAUCCUUCCUUCCUCCCUCCCUUCCUUCCUCCCUUAC